RNAcentral lists this long non-coding RNA (933 nucleotides) under Capsicum annuum. Its description in RNAcentral is "long non-coding RNA (CANN_LNC002572)". The record is from RNAcentral. Lineage: Eukaryota; Viridiplantae; Streptophyta; Magnoliopsida; Solanales; Solanaceae.
UCUCUUCCCUUGUCAUUCUCCAUCUCCUCUCUCGCCUCUCCAUCUCUCCCUCGAUUCCCUCUAUCCUUCUCAAUUCCCCCAUUCUUUCUCUACAAAUAAAGUCCUCCCAAUGAUACACCUUUAGGACUGUUGCCAUUAUUGCUAGUGAUGGAUCCCAGUUAUCGACGAAAAGUUGCUCAUGAGAAACCCUAAUUUGUAAAUUUGAUGGACUAUGAUGCAAAUCAGUUGGGGCUUUUUAUGCUAAUGCAUUGCUGGUAGGAUUAUGAACAAAAUUCCUAAUCCAAUAUAAAUUUUCAACAACUCCGGCGACGCCGCCGCCUUGGCAAAAACUUAAAGAAAGAGAUGUUGACAAAAGCUUCAUGUUUUUUCUUCUUUUCUUCGAUCUACUCUAAAAAAAGAAUUAAUUGAGAAAUCAGCCAUGGGAAAGAUAGUUGUUGCAUUUGUUGUUUUGGUAGAUUUUGUGGGGGUUGGGGGUAGUUAAUUGAGGAAUUCUUGAAGUGGAUUUAAGGGGUUUUUAUUCUUUCUUUGGUGUUGGUGAAUCCGGUUCUUCAAUUUUGAUUGCCAUUGUAGAGUUGAGAGGCACCAGCAAGAAGAUUAUUCCUGAAAAACACUAUUUUUUUCUUUUGUUACACAAUUUCUGGCAGUUCUUGAAGCUUUUCAUUCAACUGUUUGAUUGUCUGUGUUUGAGCUUUGGUGGUUGUUGAAGAUGAUGAUGAUCUUAGGAUUACUCAAUUUGUAACAGCUGGUGAUUAGAUUCUUGUUGUUUGUUUGGAAAAAUUGAGAAGUAGGAAUCGAAGAAGAAAGAUUCUUGUGUUGAUUCUUGUUGUUUGUUUGAAAAAAAUUGAGAAGUGAGAAUCGGAGAAGAAAGCAAACCACAUCAUUUUUUUGUUUGUUUCUUGUUUAUUCUUCAUCUUCAUCUUCUGAUUCUUGUUG